UUUGGUAGCAUACCGAGCGAAGCUAGUGGCGAACGGGUGCGUAACACAUGAGUCAUCUGCCCAGAAGUGGGGAAUAGCUCGGCGAAAGCCGGAUUAAUACCGCAUGUGGUCGUAAGACCAAAUCCGGGGCAACCUGGCGCUUUUGGAGGAGCUCGUGGCCUAUCAGCUAGUUGGUAAGGUAACGGCUUACCAAGGCAACGACGGGUAGCUGGUCUGAUAGGACGACCAUCCACACUGGAACUGAUAUACUGUCCAGACACCUACGGGUGGCAUCAGUCGAGAAUUUUUCUCAAUGGGGGAAACCCUGAAUGGGCGACUCCGCGUGGAGGAUGAAUGCUUUCGGGUUGUAAACUCCUGUCAUUUGGGAACAAGGCCUUACGUUAACUGCGUGGAGGAUUGAUAUUACCAUAAGAUGAAUAGACGGCUAACUCUGUGCCAGCAUCCGCGGUAAU
Molecule: ribosomal RNA, 452 nt
Filed under: uncultured bacterium
Lineage: Bacteria
Description: bacterial SSU rRNA
Rfam family: Bacterial small subunit ribosomal RNA
Source: RNAcentral